Molecule: unclassified non-coding RNA, 2621 nt
Filed under: Hevea brasiliensis (rubber tree)
Lineage: Eukaryota; Viridiplantae; Streptophyta; Magnoliopsida; Malpighiales; Euphorbiaceae
Source: RNAcentral
GAAAAAUGGAAGAUAUAACUUAAGAACAGAUCUCAGAAAUUUCGCCACCAAUUAACAAUCUUUGUCUAUUAAACAAAUUCGAAUCAAUGAAAUUUAGAGAUUAGAAGAGAAAGGUGGCAUCUGACCUUCAACAUUUACCCUUUCCUUUCGCAGAAUGCAUGACUUAGUUGACUGCUACGGCAGGUAACAGAAGAUCGCCACGUGUUUAUUCUCUGUCCCACUUGAGUAACGAGUUUACCACACGCACACGGAGAAACUAUACACGUGUCAAGAAGGCAAAGACGACAGCACAAUCGCACUUCUCAAGGAUAACAGAUGACAAUCGGAAAGUUUCCGUUUCUUAUCUCUUAUUAUUUCACCACUCUUCUCUUCGGUGAGCAUGAUGAAUAUCUCAAGCUGACUACCGUGUUACACCAUGAUGAAACACGAACAAGCAAACUGCGCAGGAAUGCGCAAGAUAGAAUAUCCGCCAAUUGCCACGUGGCAAUCUACACCAAUUGUAACCUUCACCAUAAACUUCGCAUACAGAACGACUUGGAUAUAUAAAAAACGGGAUAACCUUCUGCUUUUAAAAAUCUGAUAUUAUCUCCUUUGCUUCUCUUAACACGUUCUACGUUGUCAUCUGUUCUUUAUCUUCUUGUCGGCACUUUCCCAAAUAACAGAAACCAGAAAAGAUUAUAGACCAAGAUGGAUAGUCUUACGCUCACAGGGUUAUUGAAACACGUCGCCGGAGACUUCCCUCAUGGGAGAGCGGUGUCAGUUUCGGGCAAGUUUGAUUUGACGCACUCUCAACUCCACGAACUGGUUGAACGGGCCGCUUCUCGUCUUGUUUCAGCAGGGAUUAAUCCAGGCGAUGUUGUUGCGCUAACUUUUCCUAACACUAUCGAGGUUUGAAACUUCCAUUUCGCUAUCAGUCUCAAAAACUCUGAUGUUUUUAUAAAUAAUCCAAAGAUGUCGAUUUAUUUGUCUUUUUCUUGUGAUAAUUACAGUUUGUAAGUGUGUUUUUGGCCGUAAUCCGAGCCCGAGCCACCGCUGCGCCACUUAAUUCAGUCUACACCACGGAGGAGUUCGAGUUCUACCUAUCGGACUCUGAGUCAAAGCUUUUACUGACCCCGCAGGAAGGGAACGCCUCCGCUCAAGCAGCGGCUUCCAAGCUUAACAUUCGUCACGCGACCGUUUCACUGCCCGGAGCCGAUUCUGAAUUGGUGUUCUCACUCCCGCAGUCAGACGUUAUCUCUCUCGCUGGCCUUGCCAACGAGCCAAACGACGUCGCACUCUUUCUUCACACCUCUGGAACUACGAGCAGACCCAAAGGAGUGCCAUUGACACAACUCAAUUUGGCGUCUUCUGUGAGAAAUAUAAUGGCAGUCUAUAAACUCACCGACUCAGACUCCACCGUCAUAGUCCUGCCGUUGUUUCACGUUCAUGGAUUGGUAGCCGGAUUACUGAGUUCACUUGGAUCAGGAGCCGCCGUGGCUCUCCCAGCCGCUGGCCGAUUCUCAGCAUCAACGUUUUGGAAAGACAUGCUCAAAUACAAGGCUACGUGGUACACGGCAGUCCCCACCAUCCAUCAAAUUAUACUGGAUCGACACUUUAGUAAUCCAGAAGCAGUUUACCCGAAGCUCCGGUUCAUCCGGAGCUGUAGUGCAUCCCUUGCACCUGUUGUAUUAGCUAGGCUAGAGGAGACUUUCUGUGCGCCGGUAUUGGAGGCGUAUGCAAUGACGGAGGCAACUCAUUUGAUGUCAUCGAACCCGUUACCGGAAGAUGGCCCGCAUAAGUCCGGGUCGGUGGGGAAACCAGUGGGUCAAGAAAUGGCGAUAUUGGAUGAAAAUGGCGAGGCUCAAGGUGCAAAUAAAAGUGGAGAGGUUUGCAUCAGAGGUCCAAACGUAACUAAGGGGUAUAAAAAUAAUACUGAGGCAAACAAGGUGGCAUUUCAAUUCGGGUGGUUUCAUACUGGAGAUCUGGGUUAUCUUGAUUCGGAUGGCUACUUGCAUCUGGUGGGUAGGAUUAAGGAGCUUAUUAACCGUGGAGGGGAGAAGAUAUCGCCAGUAGAAGUGGAUGUAAUUCUUCUAUCUCAUACAGACAUCGCUGAAGCUGUUGCUUUUGGAGUUCCCGAUGAUAAAUAUGGUGAAGAGGUAAAAUCAAUAAAUCAAGAUUCUCCUAAAUUAUUAAUUUUCGACCAUCCCUUUCCAAAACCUCCACCCUAUGUUCAUGUGUAAUUGUUAUGGUCUAAAAUUUAUAGAUAAUAUCUCCUCCUUCAAUAUAUAUACCACAGGCUUAUGCAUAUUGCCCUAGGCACAGUUAAGUCGCUUGCCCCAGUAUGAUGUUUAGCCGUCAUCAGAAAAAGUACCAAGUCAUUGGUUAAUUAUGGUUUGGGUGUUGUUUGACUUGACCAUCCACUCCAAAUUUAUGGUGGUUAGCAAGGUAUUAGGUUUGCUCCUUUUUACUGGACAUUUAACCAAACAGUGUGCAAGUAUCUGACCAGGAUUAUGACAAUUAGACGCCUUUUAGGCAAGGAAUGACUCUGCAAUUGCCUAUCCUGGAGCUUAGGUUGCUAGAUUUCCAGAUUUUCUAAUGCAUCUUUUUGCGUCUCCAAUAGAUAAAUUGUGCAAUAAUUCCUA